GAAGCCAUUAGUGUGGUACCCCAGGGACGUAGGCGAAGGGACCUCAGUGAGGAAAUGUUAGACUACGGAAACCUUUCAGUACCCUCGGUGUGGGUCACUGCAGGAACACCAACAGCAGUCAGAGUUGAAUGGUCUCCGGUGGAAGGCGCG
Molecule: long non-coding RNA, 150 nt
Organism: Lampris incognitus (smalleye Pacific opah)
Lineage: Eukaryota; Metazoa; Chordata; Actinopteri; Lampriformes; Lampridae
Exons: 3
Source: RefSeq, a predicted model, not a curated record